Molecule: ribosomal RNA, 461 nt
Filed under: uncultured Methylomirabilota bacterium
Lineage: Bacteria; Methylomirabilota (SeqCode)
Description: bacterial SSU rRNA
Rfam family: Bacterial small subunit ribosomal RNA
Source: RNAcentral
GGGCUUGACAUCCCACGAACCUUCCCGAAAGGGUUGGGUGCCCGCAAGGGAGCGUGGAGACAGGUGGUGCAUGGCUGUCGUCAGCUCGUGUCGUGAGAUGUUGGGUUAAGUCCCGCAACGAGCGCAACCCUCACCCCUUGUUGCCACCGGGUUAUGCCGAGCACUCUAGGGGAACUGCCAGCGUCAAGCUGGAGGAAGGCGGGGAUGACGUCAAGUCAUCAUGCCCCUUACGCCCUGGGCGACACACGUGCUACAAUGGCCGGUACAAAGGGAUGCAAUACCGCGAGGUGGAGCUAAUCCCAGAAAACCGGUCUAAGUUCAGAUUGCAGUCUGCAACUCGACUGCAUGAAGGAGGAAUCGCUAGCAAUCGCGCAUCAGAACGGCGCGGUGAAUACGUUCCCGGGCCUUGUACACACCGCCCGUCACACCACGAAAGCCGGCUGUACUCGAAGUCGCUGAGA